This 63-nucleotide transfer RNA is filed under the name Bankia setacea. RNAcentral describes it as "tRNA-Gln". The record is from RNAcentral. Lineage: Eukaryota; Metazoa; Mollusca; Bivalvia; Myida; Teredinidae.
UAGGUGUAGGUGUGCACAAGAAAGUUUGGUUUUCUAGGACGUCUGUCCAGAGGCGACUCACUA